AUGCCCAGAGCUGUGUCUCUCUGGAUCUGCGAAAGAUACCUUAAAGUCCCUCCUUCCAGAGGAAAACAGCCAUUCAGCCGAUGACAGAAACAGCCCCACUGCAACCAAAGCCCUUGCGCAUGCCAGGUGCUUGCUGCAAGAACCGUUGCCUGACUCACCCUUCUUUCUCAGUGGCAUUUGGCAUCAUUGCCAGCCCCUGAAGAGCCUUCGGUUACACACCUGGACAUCUGGGGGCGGCGGUGGCGGGGACACACCAGGUUCCCAGUCCGGGGGGCUGCUUCUUAACCUACUUACUUUUAAUCCUCAUGGAGGCCACGGCACCACCAGAAACAGCCCCAAACCUGACUUUUUGAAACUGAAGGGAGAAUCAGGAAGAUCAGUGAGCUACAUCCUCCUUUUAAAUAACCUGAAUAUAGCUGGAGGAGGCACAGUUAUAAUGUUCCCUAAACGGGAGAAGGAUGGAUAAAAAUAAGCCUACCAAGAAUAUGUCGCAGACUAUAGCAAUCAAACAACCUCUGCAUAGAGAAAAGAAAAAAAAAAAAAGGACCUGGAAGAAAUUGAUCAAGGUAUCUUCCAAAGAGUCUAUAGUGGGCACAGCUAUUCUAUUUUCCAAACAGAGGAAAGUUGGAACUCAUAAAACUGAAGUGACUUGCCCUGAGCCCGUGCAUUGCCUGGAGACCACGCAACAGGCAGAACGUGAGUUUUGACAUCACAGAAGCCAAGUUUGAAUCCCAGAUUUUGAGCUCUGCGUAUUGAAGGAGAAGAACAAAGUUGAAGGAUUGAUACCACUGGACUUCAAGACUUCCUAUAAAGUUACAGUAAUCGAGACAGUGUGAUAUUGGUGAAAGAACAAACAAAUAGAUCAAUGGAACAGAAAAGAGAGCCUAGACAUAGACCCACAUAAAUGUAGUCAACUGACCUUUGACAAAGGAGCAAAGGCAAUACAAUGGAGCAAAGAUUGUUUUUUCAGCAAAUGGUGUUGGAACAGCCGGAUAUCCACAGGCAAAAAAAGUGAAUCUCUACACAGACCUUUCACACUUCACAAAAAUGAACACAAAGUGAAUCAUAAACCUAAAUGUAAAACGCAAAACUGUAAAACUUCUAGAAGAUAACGUAGGAGAAAACCUAGAUGACCUUGGCAUCGGUGAUGACAUUUUAGAUAUAACAUCAAAAGCACGAUCCGUGAAAGAAAUAAUUGAUAUGCUGGACUUCAUUAAAAUGAAAAGCUUCUGCUCUGCAAAAGACAAUGUCAAAAGAAUGAGAAAGCAGGGCACAGACUGGGAGAAAAUAUUUGCACAAGAAACGUCUGAUAAAAGAUUCAGAGCCAAAUCUCAUUGGCUUCAUUAAAGUCACAUAUCCCCAGGGAGGGGACAGGAAGGAUUCUCCCUUAAGCUUCCACCUCUGCUAUUGAAAAGCUACUACACAGCCUCUGCUGCCCUAGCUUCCUUCCACCCCUGCUGAAUCCUGGGACCCCAUGCGAACUGUGGCUCCCAUCAGUAGCCCCAGCCUCCAGAUAGCAGUGGCUACAGCGAAGACGCUGGUGUUCCCCUCGUUGAGGUAUUUCUCAAGACUUUGGCAAAGGGGAUGUCCUCUGUGCUCUACUGGGAGACAUAGUUAGGGAGUGAAAGGAUAAGUUGCACAUGAUAAAUUCACUCCAGCAUUUCUAUCUCUCAAAGUCUUUGGAUUCUUUCCUUUACAUGAUAUCAAGGAAUUUAUGACAUCUCAACUCUGUUUAGUGUUGGCCACCAUUGAGUCCAGAUUUCUGUCAACCAACUGAACAAACAACGGUAUCUACUCCCAGCUGUUCGAACUUGCUGCAAAAUCUGGAGUCUCUGCUAAGUGCAUCCACGUCAAUGACUUCAAUUUGGUCUAAAAUUAUGUUCUUCUGUCCUUAGUCAAGAGCCUACAGAAUUCAUUCCCACACAUAUUCCCCAGAUCCUUGAAGGUGUAAAUUAGCAAAGUUUGGCCAGUUACUUGUUAUAUGCCUUCUACUUGCAGGUUUAACUUUUUACUCCCCACCUUCCCCGUGGGUAUUCAAGCUCUGAUCCUCAGGACAAGGGAGGGUUGCUGUAAGGCAGUUCAUAAAUAUAGUCCUUCCAUCAGUGUAACUCUUUGGGGUAAGGGAGUUCUAGUUAUCUUUGAGCAAAAAUGAAAAAGAAUCAGCAGUCAAAGGAGAAGGGCUGCUUUGGCUAGCACGGGAGAGUCAGUGAGUUCUCUGAGCUGUUCAUAUACCCUCAUUCCAAGUCUUAUCCUAUCCAUGCCUUAACUAUCUCCUGAGAGGCAAGACAAGGCUGAGAACUUGAUGAUGUAAUUCGACAAACCUCAGGUCCCAUUUUGAAUUUGUUUUCCAGUCUCUCAGCUAUGUGGCUUUUAGAGGUUGGACAUUCAUUUAUCAAUAGCACUGCCAUAGUAGGUUGCUGCGUGUUAAUAAAUGUUUUAACUGGAGACUUUGGGGUAUUUAAACUUGUUCUCUUUUA
Long non-coding RNA from Globicephala melas (long-finned pilot whale), 2477 nucleotides. RefSeq lists it as uncharacterized. The record is from RefSeq and is a predicted model, not a curated record. Lineage: Eukaryota; Metazoa; Chordata; Mammalia; Artiodactyla; Delphinidae.